CAAUAGCGUAUAUUAAAGUUGAUGCAGUUAAAAAGCUCGUAGUUGGACCUUGGACCUGGACAGGCGGUCCGCCUCACGGCGUGUACUGUCUUGCUGGGUCUUUCCUCUUGGUGAUCUGUUGUUUCGGCAGCAGGGAACCAGGACUUUUACUUUGAAAAAAUUAGAGUGUUCAAAGCAGGCUCGACGCCGGAAUAUAUUAGCAUGGAAUAAUAAAAUAGGACGUGCGGUUCUAUUUUGUUGGUUUUUGGAAUCGCCGUAAUGAUUAAUAGGGACAGUCGGGGGCAUUAGUACUCACAUGCUAGAGGUGAAAUUCUUGGAUUUUGUGAAGACUAACUUCUGCGAAAGCAUUUGCCAAGGAUGUUUUCAUUAA
This 370-nucleotide ribosomal RNA is filed under the name uncultured eukaryote. RNAcentral's name for it is "partial 18S ribosomal RNA". It matches the Rfam family "Eukaryotic small subunit ribosomal RNA", at positions 592 to 976 of the family's 1831-position model. The record is from RNAcentral.